Amphiprion ocellaris (clown anemonefish) is the source of this 2131-nucleotide long non-coding RNA. The record is from Ensembl. NCBI's taxonomy places the organism in Eukaryota, Metazoa, Chordata, Actinopteri, Pomacentridae.
AAACAGGAUUUUUUUUGUACAGUAUAGAACAAAAGUGAGCACACUCAUGAGUUAUGUCACUCAGUUGUGAAAUUAUUCCAUACUGCAUUGUCUCUCAAUAAUUGCAUUAUUUCUAGGUUUUGCAGUAGAGUAUUUGUUGUUAUGAACAAGUCUUUUACAAAGACUGAAGUGAAUCUACUUGUGAUCACUGAAACUAAACUUACUAAACCUGUGAUUUCCAGUCAGUCUAACUGCAUGAACAUGGUUCUAGAAUGAGCUGUGACCAGAACUUUCUCAGGUUUGGACCUAUUGGCUAUGCAGCCAUCAUCCUCCUAAAAUGACUCCACAGACAGAGUUUUAAUGAAGCUCAGACAGUGUAAAGGACACUUCAUAGCAUCAACCUUUAUGGAUGGAGAACAAGAAAAAAACAUUGUUUGUUCACCACAAAAUAGCAACAUGAAACUUUGCUAAAAAACAUAAAAAGUAACUUGAUGAAUGUCAGGAGCACAUUCUUUGAUCAUGUCAGAUCCAUUUAUUGAGAUCAGAUGGAGUCCAGCAUGUUUGGUGUGAACCAGACCAGGACUACCACAGUGAACGAACAGUCCUGAUAGUCCUGAUAAUGAAGCAUGGAGGUGGGUGUGGUGAUAUGAAGCAGCACAACUGCCAACAGAGUUGGGAGAUUUAAGAAUGCACCAUGAAUGUCUGUGAAUAAACCAAAAUACUGACUGACAAGGUGACUCCCAGUCUGCAGAAGCUUGAAGAAGAGGAAUAUCACAGCAGGAGAACAUGGUCUCAGUGAUGCAACAAAUGAAAUUGGAAUAAUGACAAAGAUGUAAAUUUCUGUCUGUGGUCGGGCAGGAAGUGCCUAAAUCUGGAGAGACACACCUUCAGUCUGACUCUGAGUCAGUGCUGAGAGACUCUGAGAACUCCUGGAAACCGAGCCCACAGAAAAAACUGAUGUCAAACCUUCUGAGAACCCAACAGCCGGCUGGUUUCCUCAGAAGACACUUUGAUUCAGGAUGGACAGAGGAUAAAUAUCAGCAUCAGCAGCAUGAAGGCUUCACAUCACAUCAUUCACAGGACAAGACCAGUGGACCAGACUGAAGUCUCCCAGCUGCUGCACACCUCCAUCUCAAGGCAACAAUGCAUUGUGGGUACCUGCGUUUCCUGUUUCUGGUGCUGUGGGCGGAGCUUGCAGCAGGUAAAGCGUUACCUACCGACAGACCAGACACUGAAAUGCAAAGCAUCAUUGAGGACCUGCUGGCGGCGCUGCAAAACUAUAGUCGUGUCCUCAGAGAGACGGACUCCCUGAGAGAUCUGCCAGUACAGCCCUGCACAGAGGCUCCUGCUCACCUGACCCAGAGCUUGACUGUGGCCAGCAGACUGUUGCACUAUAAGAACUGUGCUGAGAAGCUCCGAGCCUUCUGUCCAGACAACAGCGCUCUGUGUCGAGUCGUGGUCCUGAACCAGGACCUGCUGCAACACCUGGGCGCCCGGAUAGCUCAGCUGGCUGAACAGGCGGCCCAUGAACAGGGGCUAUAGUCCCCGAUGCAGCGAUCAUGGGUUCAAAUCGAGCUCAUGACAAUUUACUGCAUGCCAUUCCCCCACUCUUCUGGGGGCAGUGGUGGCACCACGGUUAAGUCUCUGGACUACUGAUCAGAAGGUCAGAGGUUCAAGCCCUGAUGUGGCCACUGUUGGGCCCUUGAGCAAGGCCCUUAACCCUCCCUGCUCCAGGGGCGCUGUACCGCAGCUGACCUGUUGCUCUGAUUCCCCCAAUUGGGGAGAUAUGCAAAAAUCUGAAUUUCCCCUUGUGGGAUUAAUAAGGGAUCAUAAUAAUAAUUUAUAUGUCAACAUUUACCAGAGUUUGUCUUGCUGUGAUUUUUAUCUCUGGCUCCAUAUUUCUUGGUCUCCUAUGUUUAAUCCUAAUGUAUUUGUGGUGUUUAUGUGUGGAUUGAUGUAAUUCUCUGUGUGAACGCCAGGGGGCACUGCUGCUGUAGUUUUGUACUUUAUCUGUACUAACACAAAAUGUAAACAGACUCAUGAACAUGUACACUGACUGUACACUGGUAUGGACUUUAGUUUUUUACAAAAUGACUGUUAAUAUAUUCAUAUUUUAUGAAUUUGAAUCUGUUGAAUUGUUUUGUGAUCAGAA